RNAcentral lists this long non-coding RNA (653 nucleotides) under Homo sapiens (human). RNAcentral describes it as "long intergenic non-protein coding RNA 687". Lineage: Eukaryota; Metazoa; Chordata; Mammalia; Primates; Hominidae. The record is from RNAcentral.
GCAGAGCUUGCAGUGAGCCGAGAUCGCUCCACGGCACUCCAGCUUGGGCAACAGAGCGAGACUCCAUCUUAAAAAAAAAAAAAAAAAGAAACAUCAGUGGAAGAGGAAGAAACUGCAGGGAUUCCAAUGUUGGAAGCAUUUUUAGCGUACAACAACAUCCAAGUGGAUUACUAUGAAUGCCUAGACCUCUAUGGCAAACAGUCUCUUCGUGGCCUGUGCUGAGGACUACAUCAGUCUCCUGCAAUUAUCAUCUACACUGAAAAACAAAGAGGACAGAGGCGAAGCUAGUGGCCCUCACCAUCCCCUGCAAGCUGAUUGCUUCUUACUGCAAGCACUUGAGCAUCUUCCUGAGAGCUUUCUUGGGCAAUGGGAACCAGGCUUGGCCCAAUCACAGGCAGGUGAAGUAUGAGGAAAUGGAGAAGGCAUUGUCCAAGGAGCAGUCUUCAACCUUCACCCCGCAAGUGAGACAACUCUGAAUAAGAUGUGUUCUACACUCUCUUCCAAAGGUCCCCAGUUGGAUGGAGCUCUAGCUGCUCAUGUGAUAAGCUGCCUAUUAAUACACAAAAGAUUGCCUUUCCUCCUUGCUCUGUCUUCCUGCUGCUCUCCUACUAAUGUUUCCUGGGAUUGCCUCCAAAUAAACCACUUGAACUCAC